UCCUUUGGAUCAGUGUCGUGCGCUCAAGGGAUUCAAUCUAGAAUCUUCUCACCUACAGUACAACCUAUGGAUGCCCGAGAUCGGUCGGGGCAUAACUAUGCUCAUCAGGGACCCUAUAUGGCAGGAUUAAUAUCUUUUCUUGAUUUCUUUUGUUGCUGCUCUGCCACAAUCUCCUGUUCAAGGAAGUACCUUGCCAAGCUAGCAUGUCCUGGCCGUUGUAGGUAAGAGAAUUGACUUCUGAUGAACUUUCUUCUUCUUAUCCUCUUUCAGUUAGAUAGUUAUAUUGUGAAACACUUGACAACGAAGCUCUCUGUCAACAAUUAGAGUAUUGACGGUUUCUGUCGUAAAUCUGAAUGUUUUUGCGGGCAAUUGGUUUGUAAAAGCAAUGGCACGUGACAACUACUAAAGCAUUGAGUGUCGUUGCUGUUGCACUUUCUAUAAGUAUGGGAAUUGAUUUUCUGUCAAUUGUGUGUUACAACUGACAACUACUAAAUUUCAAUGCCC
Molecule: non-coding RNA, 504 nt
Organism: Triticum urartu
Lineage: Eukaryota; Viridiplantae; Streptophyta; Magnoliopsida; Poales; Poaceae
Source: RefSeq, a predicted model, not a curated record